UUCACCAUGUUGACCAGGCUGGUCUCAAACUUCUGACCUCAAAUGAUCCACCUGCCUCGGGCCUCCCAAAGUGCUGGGAUUACAGGUGUGAGCCACCAUGUCUAGCCCCGAUUUUUUUUUUUUUUUUUGAGACGAGAUUUUUGAGACAAGAGCUUGCUCUGUCACCCAGGCAGGAGUGCAGUGGCACAAUCUCAGCUCACUGCAGCCUCCAGCUUCCCUGGCUCAGGUGAUCCUCCCACCUCAGCCUCCUUUUUUUUUUUUUUUUUUUUUGAGACAGGGUCUCUGUUGCUCAGGCUGGAGUGCAGUGGCACAGUCUCAGCUCACUGCAAUCUCUACCUCCCAGGCUGAAGCGAUCCUCCUACCUCAGCCUCCCGAGUAGCUGGGACUACAGGUGCACACCACCACACCUGGCUAAUGUUUUUAUUUUUUGUAGAGAUGGGGUUUCACCAUGUUGUCAGGUCUGGUCUCGAACUCCUGGGCUCCAGCAGUCCUCCUGCCUUGGCCUCCCCAAGUUAUGGCAUUACCUGUGUGAGCCCUUGGGCCUGGCCACUGAUUUUAAAUUUUUAGUAGAGGUGCGUUCUUCCUAUAUUGCCCAGGCAAAUCUUGAACUUUUGGCCUCAAGCAAUCCUCCUGCCUCUGCCUCCCAAAGUGUUGGGAUUAAAGGUGUGAACCAUGAUGCCUGGCCUCAUCUACCUGUUUUUUGGAAGCAAGGUCUCUUUCUGUUGCCCAUGCUGGAGUGCAUUGGUACAAUCAUAGCUCACUGCCCAUGCUGGAGUGCAGUGGUAUAAUCAUAGCUCAUAGCAGCCUCGACCUCCCAGCCUUGAGCGAUCCUCCCGCCUCAGCCUUCUGAGUAGCUGGGACCACAGGCAUACACCACCAUGGCCGACUAAUUAAAAAAAAAAAUUACUUGUAGAGACGGGGUUUUCCUAUGUCCUCCUCUACCUUUUAGUCAUGAAGAUGGCCUAUGUUUUACACAAAAGUCUUGGUUUUGGUUUUUAUGUUAAAGUCUAUAGUCUAAAGUCUUUAGUUUUAUGUUAAAGUCUAUAAUCCAUCUUGAAUUAAUCUUUGUGUAUGAUGUGAGGUAGGAGUCAUGGUUCCUUUUUGUCCAUAUAGAUACCCUUUAUUCCAGCACCAUUUGUUAAAAAGCACUUGUCCUUUCUUCACUGGAUUGCUCUGGUGUCUUUGUUGAAAACAAAUAACCAUGAAGUGUGGGUCUGUUUCUGGGUUCUCUAUUCUGUUCCAUUAUCAAUUAAUCUAUCCUUACACAAAUGUUACACUGUCCUGGUUAUCAUUUUUUUUUCUUUCAGACAGAGUCUCCCUCUGUCACCCAGGCUGGAGUGUAGUAGCGCAAUGUUGGCUCACUGCAACCUCCGCCUCCUGGGUUCAAGCGAUUCUCGUGCCUCAGCCUCUCAAGUAGCUGGGAGGAGGCAAGUGCCACCACACACUGAUUGCUGUCAUUUUAUAAGAUGGGGUUUCAACAUGUUGUCCAGGCUGGUCUCCAACUCCUGGACUCAAGCGAUCUGCCUGCGUCAGCCUCCCAAAGUGCUGGGACUACAGGCGUGAGCCAUUGCGCCCAGCCUGCUUUAGUUAAGCCUCAUAAACAUUGGUAUCAGUUGGAAACAUUUUAUCUUUUGUGACUUUUGUUUCAUGGGUUACUUAUUUAAUUUACAAAUAUUUGAGCCUUUUCUAGAUAUCCUAUUAUUGGUGUUUUCUAAUUUAAGUCUUUUUCCCCAUGAAUAUAUUCUAUGCAACUUCAGUCCUUUAACAUUUAUUGAAGCUUAUUUUAUGGACAAGCUUAUGGUCUAUGUUGACAGAUUUUUUUUUUUUGAGACGGAGUCUCACACCGUCCACCAGGCUGGAGUGCAGUGGUACGAUCUCAGCUCACUGCAACCUCUGCCUCCCGAGUUCAAGCGAUUCUCCUGUCUCAGCCUCCUGAGUGGCUGGGAUUACAGGCACGCACCACCAUGCCUGGCUAAUUUUUGUAUUUUUAGUAGAGAUGAAGUUUCACCAUGUUGGUCAGGCUGGUCUAGAACUCCUGACCUCGUGAUCCACCUGCCUCGGCCUCCCAAAGUGCUGGGAUUACAGGAGUGAGCCACUGCACCCGGCUUUUUUUUUUUUUGAGACAGUCUUGCACUGUUACCCAGGCUAGAAAGCAAUGGUGCGAUCUCGGCUCACUGCAACCUCCCCCUCCCAUGUUCAAGCAAUUCUCGUGCCUUAGCCUCCUGAGUAACUGGGAUUACAGGCGCCAUCAUGCCCAGCUAAUAUUUUGUAUUUUUAGCAGAGAUGGGGUUUCGCCAUGUUGCCCAGGCUGGUCUCGGACUCCUGAGCUCAGGCAAUCUGCCUGCCUUGGCCUCCCAAAGUGCUGGGAUUACAGGCGUGAGCCACCGCACCUGGCCUAUGUUGGUAAAUGUUCUAUGUGUACUUCAAAUGUGUAUUCUAUACUUGUUGGUUAUAGUGCUCAAUAAAUGUCCAUUGGGCCAAAA
Molecule: long non-coding RNA, 2483 nt
Organism: Symphalangus syndactylus (siamang)
Lineage: Eukaryota; Metazoa; Chordata; Mammalia; Primates; Hylobatidae
Source: RefSeq, a predicted model, not a curated record